This is a non-coding RNA of Macaca mulatta (Rhesus monkey), 6231 nucleotides long. Lineage: Eukaryota; Metazoa; Chordata; Mammalia; Primates; Cercopithecidae. The record is from RefSeq and is a predicted model, not a curated record.
GGCGGAGCUUGCAGUGAGCCGAGAACUCGCCACUGCACUCCAGACUGGGCAACAGAGCGAGACUCAGUUUCAAAAACAAAAAGUGCAUGCACACGUCACUGCAUUUGCAUGCGUGCCUGAAGAAGGAGGGAUCCAGGGAUGUUGGUGUGUUUAGAGAGCCAAGAAUAAAUUAGGAAAGUUGAAAUUUUUAAUACCGUCUGACCAAGCGAUGGGGAAAGGUACCUAAGUGGAAUUUAAGCACAAUCCAAAUUUAAGACAAAAACACAAUCAUUCUUGUCUUUCUCACUGCUUAUCACAUUGAGUGCCUUCUCAUAGACAUUCUAAAACACUGAAAAUUACUUUUAUUCAUAUCUGCAGAAUCUUCUUGAAAUUCAUUUAUUUAAAAACUGCAGGAUAUUAAAGAGUUAGCCCUAUGCCUCUUCAAAACAAAGCUAUGUCAGGACCACACAAAUGAUACAGAUUGAACAGACCUCAAAGAAAAAAUACGCUUUAAGCAAAAGCUAAACAUCUGUUGUUCAUAAAGCUUGCCAUAGUGCUAAGGGCAAGAAAAACUUAAAGGGGUAAGCUCUUUUUUCUAUCAAGGAGCGAUUCUUCUAGUUGAGGAGAAGGUAUCUAUGUGAAACAAAAGGAUAAGCAGUUCUAAAACCAAAACUAAUGAAUAUAUAGAUAUAUGUGUAUUAUAUAUGUAUUCUUAUAUGAAGGGGUGCCAGUGAAUGGGGGAGCACUUUUUAAAGUGGAUAAGUUGUUCUUUGUCUUGAAGUAAGUACAGGAUUUGGACUGAUGGAAAGGGAAAGCAUGAGAAUGCAAAAGAGCCCACAGGCGAGGAGCAAAGGAUAUGAGAGAGGACAGCAGUAGAGCCAGUUCAUGAAGAGACGUGACUGCUGGAAUAAAGAUUUCAGCUUUGCUUUGAUACGUGCGUAAAAGCUACAGUAAGGUGUUUAUAUGUUUGAUUCAUGUGGGCUUUUAUUCCUUAACUUGGGCAUUGAUUUACUAAUUCAGCAAGUGCAGUGCACAUUACAUACCUAGAAUACAUCAGGCUCUCUGUUAGGGCUAGGGCAGUGGUUCUGGAUCAGGGGCAAUAUUGGCCCCCAGGAAGCACUGAGCACUGUCUGGAGAUGUUCUUCAAGGGUCGCAAUGCGGGUAGGUGGCUACUAGCAUUUAGUGGGUAGAGGGCCCGAAUGCUGCUAAACCUCCUACAAUGCACAGAAUAACACCCCCCACAGCAAAGAAUAUUGAAAUUUCCAGCCCCAAACAUCAAUAUUGCUGCUGUUGAGAAACGCUGGGCUGCAUGGUACAGGUAUCUGAGAUGUAGUUCUUACCUGCUCUGGGAAUCCAAGGGCAGUUGAGGCUGUAAACUAAUAAUUCCACUCUAGUAGGUUCCCACAAUCGAAGCACGUAUCAGGUACUAUGGAAGAGCAGAAGAUGCCACUCGCUCUGCUUCAGGUUGGAAGGUGUCCUGGAGGAAAGUUGCAUUGGAGAGGAAUCUUGGAAGGUGAGCCAGAGCUUGCCAGGUAGGGAAGGUGGGUGGAAGGAGCCAGUUCAAAAAUGUAGCAUAUUUGGGGGCCAGUGGGCAGUUUGGCAUGACUGAAAUACAGCGUAUGUGGUUGGAUGGGUUGGGAUGAAAUAAUGGGAGAUGGGGUUGGGAAGUUAGGUUGGGGUCUUAUCCAGGAAGGUGCUAGAGGCCCUGGUAACCCCUACUCCCAGCCCUACUGAUAAGGUCAGUGUCCACAAAGAUCAUAAAAGGGAAUCAAGAAGUGCUGGCUUCCUCAGUUCUGUUCACUGCACUCUUGUCUCUUGUCCAUAGAUCUUACUUCCUAGCCUGGGCUCUGCCGAGCAUGUGUCCUCUGAGUUUUUAGUAAAGUAAAGGGAAUAGCAAAAUAAAACCAUUGCUAGUAAUGUACCCUAGAGAUGGAAGCUGUCAGGUAAUCAUUUAGAAUUUAAAAGCUCGUCUCCACAUUCCUUCAGAUGAAGAAAACGGUAGGAUAAAAAUAUAGCACAGCUUAUUAGUAACAUCUUACCCAUUUUUUCCCUAAAUGGUUAGAACACGCUGCCUUUCCGUGCUCUGUACAUCAGCGUUUCCGUUAUUAAAGCUAUUUUUCAGUUCUAAAUCCUAGGAGGAUUUUCCCCCAUGAAUUUAACAUGACUAAGGAAACUUGCUCCAGGGUAAAACUUUGCUGCAAAUUAUCUGAGAUAGGCUUCUUAAUAAAGAGACCAAAAAUGAAUCAUAGCCUUUUAGUAGUUUCAAAUGUGGAGUUACCGUUCUCCUUCAUCCCCACUAUCAUGAUUAUUCAUAAUGGAAACGGGCCAGCUUUAUAAAUAAUUACACACAACAAGAGUCCUUUGUGUUCAACACUGGAGGCUGCUGCUGAUGCGGGCCGGGAGAGUGUGUGUGCAAGAGUUACGGGAGACAGCACACAAGCCAGGCAAAGCUGUGGCGUCUAAGCUUCUCAAAAGGUCAUCCCUACACAUGAGGAGAUGGAGGAGUCUUGCCAUGUUGUCCAAGCUGGUCUCAAACUCCCAGACCUCAGCCUCUCGAGUAGCUUCGUCUACAGGAACAUGCCAUCUUUCUCCUUUUAAGAAGAAGCCAUGCCUCCCUUCUCCCCUCUGACACAAUAAACAGCAACAGAGAGAGGGGCAGAAGAAUGAACCUAAUGACUAAAGGAAGGACAAAGUGGAAGAAGAUAAAGAACAAGGGAAUAAAAAACACUUUUCUGUGAAUGUAGGUGAACCAAGUAUCUUUGUUGGCUGAGUUAGCAAAGGGGAAGUCUAUGGGGAGAUGACAGUGAAGCAGGAAAUUUCCCUGACCCCUUUGCAGAUGGGAACUGGAGUGCAGGUGCUGGAGCUAGCCGGCUGCUUCGGCACCAGCAGGGGCAAACUCCACUCACUCGAAUCCAUUGCCCUCAGCCCCUCGCGGGAGGGAACACACAGGUGAGUGGAUGCAGGAACCGGGGUGAGCGCUUUGAGGCACCAGCAGGAGCAAAACUUUGUGUGGGUCCUGUGGCAGCAUCUAGAGGGGAGAACUUGUGAUGCUGUCCACAGACAACUGAAGUAUUAAACAACUCAGUGUUGCAGUGAGCCGAGACCGCGCCACUGCACUCCAGCCUGGGCGACAGAGCGAGACUCCGCCUCAAACAAAAAAAACAAAAAACAAAAAACAAAAAAAACCAAAUAAACAGCUCAGUGGGCCCUCUGCCUUUUUGCAUGAGGUAGUUGCUUUCCACCAGCAAGGGCAGAAGGUCAGUGUGACAGCCUUUGGAAUCUGUACCUGUGGCACCUGAUCUCUUGUUCAGUGUCCAGGAAAAAAUCAGGUAGCAUGAACAAAUUGAAGAGUGGUGAAUGUGGAGGAUUUUAUUGCUGAGGAAAGUGAUGAAAGUGAUGAAGGGAAGCUGAAAGGGGAUGGAGCAGGAAGCUAUGCUGUCAAGCUGUCUCUCUGAUGUCAAGCUGCUUCUCUCCAACACCCAGCUGCUUCUCCUCCCUCUGACAGCUGAGCCUGGGGGUUUUAUGGGCACAAGACUGGGGGCAGGGUAGGCAGUGGGUGGUUUUGGAAAAGGCAAAAUUCCAGCCAGAAAACAGAGAUGUAAACUCUCACUUUGGGCCACGGUAUGGGUUUUUCAGCUUGAGGAUGGGGCCCUCACCACGGACCUGCCCUCUUCUGCCCAGAAUUUCUCAGCCUCCUGUCCCUAUCAACAGUAAAAUAAACAUGUGAAAUUAACACAUUUGCUGCUUCUCUUCUCUUUGUGGCUCUGCAUUACUUACGAACCAUGAGGGUAAAUUUCAACGGCAGGAGAGUGAAGGUGGUGGGAUUCUUUCCAAAAUUUCUCUGACCAUCUCUAUGCAGUUUGUCAAGAGAAGGAAGACACAAGCUGCACCUCUUACUGCAGGCCGUACUGAGGCUUUAUGCAAGAAAUCAAUUACAAGUUAUCCAUAGAGAUAAAGUUCUGGGUGCCCCAGAACUUUAUCAAGUUGCUCAACUACAGCUGUAAAAGGAGGAUAAGUCUAUCUAGCAGAGCCUCAGUUUACUGUCCUAGAACUUGAAUAUCCAUGGCUUGGGAAUAAAGGAAUGAUCACAUUUGAAUGCAAAUGUCCAGGGAAAGCAGAUGUAGCUUGUUAUCUUGAAUAAUCUGAGUAAUAAGACAAUGCCACCUGUUACUUAAUGAAAACCAAAGACUGUCCUUGCCUCAAUGCUCUAGAUGCCAGCCACAAGGGCCAGCACCGUUCCAGGUGUCUCCCUACACAUGGACAAGCAUUUCAUCUGCCAGUCUUGCAUCUGUAAACACAUCUGCUCAGGACAUUCCCUGCACAAAACACUCAGUAACUCCCCAUAGCAUGCAGAGUUCAACUCAUACUCCUCAGCCUGGCAGUAAAAACCUUUCAUCACUUAACAUCUACAUAACUUUCCAUCUCAGGUCCCUGUCCCACCUGCCAUUCCACCCACUGUUGAGGCUGGCAUCAGCUACUCAGCUCCCUGAAUGUGCUUUGCAUCCCCCUCUCUUCUCACUCCUGGACUUUUGCUGAAAUGUUUCAGAUGCUUAGGGAGCACUUUUCUCUUGCUUCCCUGUACUGCAGAGAUAUUCACCUGACCUAAACUUUCUUCAGGGGCCAGCUUAAAUCUCACUACUUGCCAAAUUCUUCCAUGCAAAAUCAAUUUCUUCCUCCAUUGUAAUACCAUAGCACUUUGCACCAACACAUACCAUCAGAGGCGUGUAUGUGUGUUUCAUGCAUAUGCCUAGAUUACAAUAGUUCCUUCAUAGCAUUUACCAUUAUGUGGCAUAUUAUACAUUUACUUAUGUAUUUUGUAUUGUCUGUCUCCUCUUCCAGAAAGUACAAAAAUUUUGUAUGCUUUAUUACUGCACUCCCAAUGCCUAGAACAGUGCCUAGCAGAUAGUAAAGGCUCAAUAAAUAUUUGCUAAAUAAAUAGAUGAAUGGGAGCCUAGAGAUCCCAGACUGUCUUGUUCAUCUCCUCAUCACCCCAGAGUGGCUGGCGAAGUGCUUUGCACAUGCUUCUUGAAUCUGACUGGAUGGAAGAGCUGGCCACCUGGGUUUGGCUAUGUACAUCUCCUCUGCUUUGAACAGAAGACAUGGAUUUAACUGCCAGUUACGCAGCUGCGGUGCUAUAAGCCAGGCAGACAUGAUGGGGGCUGAGACUCAUACAGGAAACCCCUAGGUUAAUGGGCAGCCCUAAUUGCUAAAUCUAAUUAGGAAGGAAAUCAGUUAAAUUAGGAAUCCUUCAUGUAAGAAAACCAAACAAAAAGCUGUUGAGCAAAAUUUUUCAUUCUUCAUUCGCUUUAAUCAGCUUCCUUGAAGAAGAAGAGAGGAUAGCAGGAUUUCAGGAGGAGUGUUUUAUUGGGCCAAAAGCCAUGCUCCCACGACUACAGAACCCCAAAAAGAAAGAACAACAUGGUCUUUGGCCACUAGGUUCCUCUUUGGCAUGUGCUCUGGAGGAAGCUGCCUCGUCACCUCUCCAAAGAGCCUGAGGAUUAUCGCUGUGAAAGCUCAGGCUCUCAGGCUUGAAUCGUUGCCAACAGGCUUCCAAUUUGAAGGGCUGAUCCUCUUAAUUGAGCAAAAGCACACCGUCCCCACCUCCCCCCACUGAAGCAAGCGACGCAGAAGCACCAUGCAAUUCACCUCUACUGCUGAAGCGGUUACUUGUGUGGUCUUCAGUCAUUUGGUCCGGAAAGACUGAUAUUUUUCUCAAUAUUUGCCAUUUUAAUGUGUUUGCAUCAUCAUCUUCUGCAGCACCUUAAGUAACACAGAGCUGCCUCUUUCUUUUUUCUUGAGAAACCCAUCAGAUAGAUAUGAAAACAAAGAGAUACAAUAAUAUGAAUAUCCCUAAGAAUUACCAUCAAUACCAACAGGAUUGAUAUUUGUGAAAAACUAUAUAUACAUCUAUACAGUAUAUUCAAGGCAAAUAUUCAGGAAGCAGAGUGGUCACGUUAGUAUCAGCUCCAUCAGGAUUCUAGGUAAGCUCUUUCACAAACCUUGUGAACUGGGACAAGUCGAAUAAGCUCUCUAAACUUUGACUUCCUCAUCUGUAAAAUAGGAAUAAAGAUAAUACCUGUUCAUGGUCAUUUUGUGAAGAUGAAAUGAGAUAAUGCCAUAAAGCACUAAACACUGUGCCCAGAAUAUAGUAACCACUCCGUACAUGGUGAUUGAAUACAUUAAUAGGCUGCCAGGCAUCCUCCAACCACUGGCCCAGACUGGCUACAUUUCUGAGACAAUGGGACUUAUCCU